GUAGGGUGCGAGCGUUAAUCGGAAUUACUGGGCGUAAAGCGUGCGCAGGCGGGCUUUUAAGCCAGACGUGAAAUCCCCGGGCUUAACCCGGGAAUGGCGUUUGGGACUGGAAGUCUGGAGUGCGGCAGAGGAGACUGGAAUUCCUGGUGUAGCAGUGAAAUGCGUAGAUAUCAGGAGGAACACCGAUGGCGAAGGCAGGUCUCUGGGCUGACACUGACGCUCAUGCACGAAAGCGUGGGGAGCAAACAGGAUUAGAUACCCUGGUAGUCCACGCCCUAAACGAUGUCGACUGGUUGUUGGGGGUUUGACACUCUCAGUAACGAAGCUAACGCGCGAAGUCAUCCGCCUGGGGAGUACGGUCGCAAGAUUA
Molecule: ribosomal RNA, 370 nt
Filed under: uncultured bacterium
Lineage: Bacteria
Description: bacterial SSU rRNA
Rfam family: Bacterial small subunit ribosomal RNA
Source: RNAcentral